Molecule: ribosomal RNA, 983 nt
Filed under: Sarcophaga ornatijuxta
Lineage: Eukaryota; Metazoa; Arthropoda; Insecta; Diptera; Sarcophagidae
Description: eukaryotic LSU rRNA
Rfam family: Eukaryotic large subunit ribosomal RNA
Source: RNAcentral
GCACUAAGUCACUUUGUCUUUAUGGCAAAUGUGAGAUGCAGUGUAUGGAAUGUCAAAUUUCUAGUAUGAGAAAUUAACGAUUUAAGUCCUUCUUAAAUGAGGCCAUUUACCCAUAGAGGGUGCCAGGCCCGUAUAACGUUAAUGAUUACUAGAUGGCAUUUCCAAAGAGUCGUGUUGCUUGAUAGUGCAGCACUAAGUGGGUGGUAAACUCCAUCUAAAACUAAAUAUAACCAUGAGACCGAUAGUAAACAAGUACCGUGAGGGAAAGUUGAAAAGAACUCUGAAUAGAGAGUUAAAUAGUACGUGAAACUGCUUAGAGGUUAAGCCCGAUGAACCUGAAUAUCCAUUAUAGAAAAUUCAUCAUUAUGAUUUUAAUAUUAAUAAUAUUAUAAUAAUGGUGUGCAUUUUUUCUAUAACGGACAUUGUAAUCUAUUAACAUAAAUAUAUUUAUCAUAAGAUCGAUGAUGCGUAAGUUUAUUCAAAUUAUUUUGCUUGCAAUUUAACAUAGAAUAAAUGCUCUUGAUUUGAUAAAGUGUUGAUAGAUUUAUUGUAUAUAGUGCUUAAAUAUUUAUAUUUUAUAAGAGCAUAUUAAUCAUUGAUUUUUAUGUUUAUUAUAUGCACUUAUAUGAUUAACAAUGCGAAAGAUUCAGGAUACCUUCGGGACCCGUCUUGAAACACGGACCAAGGAGUCUAACAUAUUUGCAAGUUAUUGGGUAUCAAAACCUAAUAGCGAAAUUAACAUAACUUUAAUGGGAUUAGUUUUUAGAUUAUUUAUAGUCUAUUAAUUCAAUCCCGGGGCGUUCUAUAUAGUUAUGUAUAAUAAUAUUUAUAUUAUUUAUACCUCUAACUAGAGCGUACCUUGAGCAUAUAUGCUGUGACCCGAAAGAUGGUGAACUAUACUUGAUCAGGUUGAAGUCAGGGGAAACCCUGAUGGAAGACCGAAACAGUUCUGACGUGCAAAUCGAUUGUCAGAAUUGAGUAUA